CCUACGGGGGGCAGCAGUAGGGAAUAUUGGGCAAUGGGCGCAAGCCUGAACCAGCAACGCCGCGUGAAGGAAGAAGGCUUUCGGGUUGGAAACUUCUUUUCGCAGGGACGAAGCAAGUGACGGUACCAGAGGAAUAAGCCACGGCUAACUACGUGCAAGCAGCCGCGGUAAUACGUAGGUGGCAAGCGUUAUCCGGAUUUACUGGGUGUAAAGGGCGUGUAGGCGGGAAAGCAAGUCAGAUGUGAAAACCAUGGGCUCAACCUGUGGCCUGCAUUUGAAACUGUUUUUCUUGAGUACUGGAGAGGCAGACGGAAUUCCUAGUGUAGCGGUGAAAUGCGUAGAUAUUAGGAGGAACACCAGUGGCGAAGGCGGUCUGCUGGACAGCAACUGACGCUGAGGCGCGAAAGCGUGGGGAGCAAACAGGAUUAGAUACCCUUGUAGUC
Molecule: ribosomal RNA, 443 nt
Filed under: uncultured bacterium
Lineage: Bacteria
Description: partial 16S ribosomal RNA
Rfam family: Bacterial small subunit ribosomal RNA
Source: RNAcentral